AUGUCGGCACAGAUCGCUCCGCCGGAGCAUGUCUGCUACGUGCACUGCAACUUCUGCAACACAAUUCUCGCGGUCAGUGUUCCAAGUAAUAGCAUGCUGAACAUCGUCACCGUCCGUUGCGGGCACUGCACGAGCCUGCUGUCGGUGAACUUGAGGGGAUUAAUCCAGUCGCCACCUGUGCAAGAUCAUUCCCAGGAGAAUUUCAAGGCCCACAAUAUCAGCUUUCGUGGAAAUUACCCGGACUAUGGCACAUCUUCUAAAUACCGGAUGCCAAUGAUGUUCUCAACAAAAAGUGACCAAGAGCAUAUGCUCCACAUGAGACCAGCUCCUGAGAAGAGGCAGCGGGUUCCUUCAGCGUAUAACCGAUUUAUUAAGGAGGAGAUACGAAGGAUAAAAACAAACAACCCUGACAUAAGCCACAGAGAAGCCUUCAGCACCGCAGCAAAGAAUUGGGCGCAUUUCCCAAACAUUCAUUUCGGGCUAGGCUCCAAUGAGAGCAGCAAGAAGCUGGACGAGGCCAUCGCGGCGCCUAUCCCCCAGAAAGUUCAAGGUCUCUACUGA
Molecule: ribosomal RNA, 561 nt
Filed under: Triticum aestivum (bread wheat)
Lineage: Eukaryota; Viridiplantae; Streptophyta; Magnoliopsida; Poales; Poaceae
Description: partial small subunit ribosomal RNA
Source: RNAcentral